UUUCACAUAGACCUGCUCUGAGGCGAUAUGUGAUUAAAAUGACGUAUGACUCUUCUAGCAUAACAUAAGAAGCUUUUAGUCCUAAGACAUCUUCUCAAAAUGAUUGGGGGUGGGGGUCAAUAAAAUGGAGUACUCUUAGGGAGACGCAUUUCUAGAUCCCAACAACUGACUUUGAACCUGAGAAAAUAACAGUAUUUGCAACACAUGGCCUAUGAGCCUAUGGAUUUCCCUGACACCACAGGAAAACACCUAGUCUGGGAGGGAAUGUCUCAACCUGCUACCUACUACCUCAGUAAGCUCCUGUUAUUCCAUGAGUGUUAAAUGUGUUCGGUAGCUGUGGUUGGCAGUUCAAAUUUUCCUAACUAUUAAGGGAAUUUCUUUGGGUUUUAUUUAGUCCACGGAAAUGGCUGCCAUGCAAAUUUUGAAAAACCAUUUUUUACUAUAGGUGAUGGAGGAAAACAGUUUAAUAAAAUACAAAAGUUAAAUCUGGCUUUCCGGAACUAAGUGACUAAUUAGAGGUAGCUAAUAAAUUAUGUUGGUCUUCCCGUUUUUAAAAUGUAGGCCUAAAUUUAGACACAGAAUUGUCUCAAUGGACCAUUUAUAUGUAACUUCCAAUGCUAUGUGUUACUGCAUAGUUGAAAUAUUUUUAUUCCUGUCUAUAAAUGUAUAGCAUGGCCACAUGCAUUUACUAGCUGCUGUUUCUUUUGAUUGAUUGAUUGAUUGAUUGAUUGAUUGAUUGAUUGAUGAUUCAAAAGUAAAAAGGCUGGAAUGGUGCUUCCCUGCAAACAGCACUUUCUGUGAAAGCCGGAGGGCCAGACUUUAGAUCAUCAAUAGCCAUAUGAAAACCAAAGAGAUAAACCCAGCAUUGAGGAGGACAGCUGUCACCAACCUCUGGCCUCCUUACGAGUUGGCACAUGUGCACACCUAUCCACACAGCACCCGCAAACAUUACCAAGGUGGGAACACCAUACAGAGUAUUUAAGCCAUCUAUAGUUCACAACUGAUAGCAUAGGUUCAGAGCAGAUGGACAGAUGUUUCAGAUCACGUACUUCCAGAGGACCCCAGUUCAGUUCUCAAUACCCACUAGGAGCACCUCACAACUGCCUGUAACCCCUGUUCUACAGGGGUCCAUCCCCUGUGGCCUCCAGUACAAACACACACACAAUAAUAAUAAGAGUCUAGAGAAAUAGCCCAGCAGUUAAGAGCUUUUGUUGCUGUUGCACAGGACCUGGGUCCAGAUCCCAGCAUCUACAUGGUGGCUCACAAACUAAUCCUAACUCUAGAUCCAGGGGUACAGUGCCCUCCUCUGCUUUCCAUGGGUACUGCAUACAUGGGUGGUGCACUUGCAUGCAGGCAAAACACUCCUUUUCUUAAAAUUUAAACAAAAAUUGUGCAGAUUUGUAGAAAGUAAAUGUUCCUCUCACUCACCCAUUACUGUACCCCAAGGGUCUAAAUGAAGUAUAUAUUCCCAGAACUUUUAAGAAAGAUGAAUGUUGGGGCUGGGGAUUUAGCUCAGUGGUAGAGCGCUUACCUAGGAAGCGCAAGGCCCUGGGUUCGGUCCCCAGCUCCAAAAAAAAAAAGAACCAAAAAAAAAAAAAAAAAAAAAAAAAGAAAGAUGAAUGUUUACAAAACGUGUAGAAGCCACCUGAGAUAGCCAAGACCCUUCAGAUGAGACCAUACCAGAAGCACUCAGGACGUAGCAGCCACACCACCUCUUUGUGAGGCGUGAGGUAUUGGUAUCAGUUUACCAAGUCCCUACAAAUGUUUGCCCAGUAGUCAGAACGGCCUAACAGUUAUACACCAUAGUUGGCCACAGCUACGGGAGACAGUGUGACAAGCUCGACUUACCUUAGGUUUUUCAAUGAAAAUUCACAUGUGACAGUACUGUUGACCUGAGUGUUACAAACUAGAGGUCCUUCCAAGAGAGCUCGGAUCGAUACCAACAUACAAUACACGGCACCAAUGACUGUGAUCACACUCAAGAGUGAUGAAAGAAACAUCUGGAAAACAAAGCAGGGCGUUCACACACAUCGCUGUAGGUCCUCCGUCUGUUUCAGGUUUUCCAGCAGCAGCCUGCAACACUUAGUCACUGCUCUCAGUCUGUGCUCCUACAUCUUUUUCCCCUUAUUUGUUGGUGUACAUAUGAGCAUGGUAUUGGUACAUGUCUGUGUGAGUGUGUUCUGCACAUUCAUGUGUGUGUGUUCGUGUGCAUGAGGGGUGUAAACCGGAGGCUGAAAUCAGGUGUCUCCCCUUAUCGCUUUCCAUUCUCCAACUUGUUUUUGAGGCAGUGUCUGUCACUGGACCUGGAGCUGAAUGAACCAUUUCGCUACGCUAAGCCAGCUGGCCCCUGAGCUCUGGCAUCUACCUUUAUGCCCCUCUAACACUGGGGUUUUAGGCAGAUGCCACCUCACCUAACUUUUAUGUGAGCCUUAGGGAUCCAAACUCAGAUCCUCACACUUGUAUGUCAGACACUUUACUGACUUAGCCAUCUCCCCAGCCCUGUGUGGUCCUGAGACAUGAGAGUGCAGUUUAAUUACAGUUGCCAAAAGAUAUUUACACUUGUUGAUGUCUCUGAAGAAUCUCAACCUCUGUAUUCCUGGGUUUAUGAAUUCCUUCUGGCCACUGAAAUCUGGUUCCUCCUUUUCUAUGGUAUAUAGUUCUAACUUACAUUGAACCUCCACUAGACCUUAACUACCUAAACUUUUAUUUCUGGACUCUUGGCUUCCAUACAUAUUUGACUGAUGUUGUAAGUAGUCAGUGGCCAACAUCCUGAAGUAAUCAGUCAGCAGCAGAGUUGAGAGCAUAACUGCUCAGCUGGGCACACUGGAGGGGACGUGUUGCCAUUGGGACCCAUCCAAGGCAGAGUGGGAUGCAUCAGCCAUCUUGGUCUCCACCCAUCCGACGCACGUAUCACUUUAUUCUCCCAGUCCAGUGUGACAACUAAAAGCUAUCUCAACAAUGCCACAUGUCCAUUUGGAGUAGGGGUGGAGGCUCUAAAUAUGCCCAUAGUUAUAUAACCAUUGUAGUGGCUAUUCCUGGUUAUCAGCUUGACUAUAUCUGGAAUGAACUACAGUCCAGAAUUGGAAGGCUCACCUUUGAUCCUGAUCUUGAGGCUGAGAGAUACAAGUUUCUAACCCGGAUCUUGGUAUGGAGAUCUUGAGGCAAAGUGGCUAUGACUCUAAGGCAAGGAGAUCUCUGAGUUCAAGGUCACCUGGGACAAAGAAAGUCCUGGACCCAGGCGUGUUGGUACACACCUUUAAUCUGGGAUACACCUUCUGCUGGAAACCUAUAUAAGGACAUUGGAAGAAGGAAGAGUCUCUUUUUUGCCUGUCUACCUUGUGGGACUGAGCCACCCUAGAUCCUUGGACUUCCAUUCACAGCUGCUGCUGACCAUUGUUGGAGAGUUGGACUACAGACUGGACAUCGCUGUUGCCGGGAUGGCCUGGAACGAAAGUUUCGGGAAAGAUGAGUACUAUCUCUUCUCAUCAGAGCGAAACCCAGUCAUCACCGCCUUCCAUUUAUGACCCCUUGGGAAAUUCCGGGCCCAGGAGAACUAAAGAGGAACUCUGAUCUGGCAACAUCGUUGUGCCGAGAACCUUCACAUCAGCUUCAGCCCUAAAGACUGUCGUAGCAGUUAGGAAGCUUUCUGUCGGUGUUCCUGUUUACCAUAUCGGCUGCAGCCUCCAGGAUUUCAAGUAGAGUGGGAUGGCUUACUACUGCAUGAGUUUUAGAAGGAAUCUUAAAAGAAUUGGUUCUGCCACCCAAAUUUACCUUUUAUUCUCUGUCUCCCACUCCCUCCACCUUUCUCUCCCCUGUUAGCUCUCCCCUCCCUCUCCUCAAGUUAUAUCUAAUUUCUAUAUCUCCUCAGCCAUAUCUAAUUUCCUGUAAAUUAAACAAGUCAAUCUGGGAAGAGGGAAAUGGACAGUUUUGUUUGCUUGCCUUUGACAGGGACCAAUUCACCACCACUCCCUCUGGUUAAUCACUCUUAAUUCUACACCCUAGACUACUAUCGUCUUACCAGGGUUCUCAAGCCUUUUUUUUUUUUUUUUUUGAGAAUGACUGUUGAUCCCCCGUCGUGCCCUUCUCUGCUCCUGUAUCCCUAACGAGUACUGAUUAUACUUUACACUGAUGUUUCGCCAAGACCAGCCUUGCCUCUGCUAGACUCUCUACAGAGAGAGAUGGCCUCAAACUCCCAGAGAUCUGCCUGCCUCUGCCUCCUGAGUGCUGGGAUGAAAGGCAGGCAGAAGUUUGGUAUAUAUUGUAUUUCGUCCUGCUGAGGAGAGCCGUAAAUGAUAUCACAUUAUUAAGAGUUUUCUAUUUUUAAAAAGAACUCUAUCAGCUAUAGCUAGAAACUCUUAACUAAGAGUUUUGUAUCACUGAACGACAGGAUAUCAGUGGCUUUCCUUCCACUUACAAACUUGUAGCUGUGGUGGGUGCCGGUGCAUCCCAGGUACCCUGGAAUGGUUCUCCCACUGUUCUGCUCUGCUAACGAGACCAGGCUCUGUAACUACACACCAGGUGUUGGAACUUGACAUGCUUUGGUCUGCGCCACCCUUGUAACAAUCCUCAGACAGAGCACUGGUGCGUGGCCUGUUCCCCUCCCCCAUGUUACCACUGCCAAAACAGGUGGUGUAAGUUUGAGGAGCUUACAAGAAAGUACGAGAGUUCAGAGCCAAGCUAGGCCCCACAUUGACCUGAAAUUCAUAAAGCCACUCACUCUUUGCUCCUGGAACCCCAGCACCCUUGCUUAUCUCAAGCUCCCUCCAAUUGCCACACACACACACACACACACACACACACACACACACACACACACACACACACACACCCUCCUACCCUCCUUGUCUUCCAUAUCUAACUGGUUUUGCUAGAACAGAUUUAUGCCUCUCACAAAGCAGCUUUCCCCAGCACACGCCACCCGGUCUAAUGGACUGCUGACUUCAUGUCACUUCGUGUUGUUGCUUUGUUUAUUCACUGAACACUGAUACCUUUCCAACUCAGAAGCCACACAUACAUAUGGAUGUCCCAACCACCCCUGGGCCCAGCUGAAAGCCCAGAGGAAAGGGAAAAGAAAUCUUUGCCAUCAUUUAUACACUAAGCUCUUUUUUGGUUGUUCCCAGAAGACACUGCUUUCAGAUCUUACAUAACAAAUCAAGUAGAACAGGAAUCAGUGAGUGUGUCCUUUCCCACCUCUGUCACGUCAGUUUUAUAAAUAAAGUUUUAUUGGAACCCUAA
Rattus norvegicus (Norway rat) is the source of this 5235-nucleotide non-coding RNA. NCBI's taxonomy places the organism in Eukaryota, Metazoa, Chordata, Mammalia, Rodentia, Muridae. The record is from RefSeq and is a predicted model, not a curated record.